GACGAACGCUGGCGGCGCGCCUAACACAUGCAAGUCGAACGAGCGAGAGAGAGCUUGCUUUCUUGAGCGAGUGGCGAACGGGUGAGUAACGCGUGAGGAACCUGCCUCAAAGAGGGGGACAACAGUUGGAAACGACUGCUAAUACCGCAUAAGCCCACGGUGCCGCAUGGCACAGAGGGAAAAGGAGCAAUCCGCUUUGAGAUGGCCUCGCGUCCGAUUAGCUAGUUGGUGAGGUAACGGCCCACCAAGGCGACGAUCGGUAGCCGGACUGAGAGGUUGAACGGCCACAUUGGGACUGAGACACGGCCCAGACUCCUACGGGAGGCAGCAGUGGGGAAUAUUGCACAAUGGGGGAAACCCUGAUGCAGCGACGCCGCGUGGAGGAAGAAGGUCUUCGGAUUGCAAACUCCUGUUGUUGGGGAAGAUAAUGACGGUACCCAACAAGGAAGUGACGGCUAACUACGUG
Molecule: ribosomal RNA, 466 nt
Filed under: uncultured bacterium
Lineage: Bacteria
Description: partial 16S ribosomal RNA
Rfam family: Bacterial small subunit ribosomal RNA
Source: RNAcentral